GAUUUUUAUACGCUUACCUUAUGUAAAAAUAUUGUUACAUUAUUUAUAUACUCCUUACACAGAUAUUAUAAUUAUCUAAUAUAAAAAUGUGAAAGUAUACCAAACGAUCAUCUGUUCAAUUAAUUAGAAGAAGCAACUAGGAAUAUGGUAUCAAGAACUACUAUGUUUAAUACAUAAGUAUCAAAGAGCACAUAUAUUUUGUGAUCAGAAGAGUAAAAGAAUUUUUAAUCUGUACUAUUACACAUCCUAUACAAAAAAUGCAAUAGUAGUGCAAUUAUUUCUUUAUACAAAACAUUGGAAGUACUUAAUGCAUAGUGUGCAUAAAUUUAAAGCUGUUGAGAAUAUAAAUUCUUCCAAAACGUGGUUACUUGUUAAGUUUUAGAUACAUACAUUGAAAGUCAGUUAACCAUGACUGAUAUCACCACUCAAGAUCUACAGCAAUUAGUUAUCUACUUCUCUAAGAAUACUUAUAAGGCUAAGGAUGCGGAUAGCGAAAGUCAAGCCAUUAUGCAACGAUGCCUGCUUCUUAGCGAUUUAGAUUAUACUCAUUCGAUAAUAAAUAACAGUGGAGGUGAUCUAAGUGCACAUUAUCCAAGUCAUCUUAUUAUAUUAGAAUAUGAAAAGUCCAGAAAUCCCACUACAUGCGAUACACCACCACCACUGCCACGCACAACAGAGACUAUAUAUGAAAGCAUGUAUGAUCCUAUUAAACUAAAGGAAUUAAUAAAAAGUGCUAGAUUUGCUAGAUGUCGUUCAAGAUUUCCACUGCCUGUAAUACUUUACAAGGGUAGACAUGUAUGCAGAUCAGCAACAUUAUCUGGUGGACCAGAAAUUUAUGGUAGAUCGGGAUUAGACUAUUUGUUUGCAAGUAAUGAAGGUGUAGUUUCUGUUCAACAGCAAGUAGAUGAAGCAUGUGGGGGAGACUCAAGGCUUAGCGAUUGGCAACUAUUUGACAAAGUUAGACAUCAAGACAUAAAACUUUUGAAGACUCUUAAUGUAGGAACCAUCAUCGAUUUAAUGGUAGAAAAGAAGAAAGUCAAAUUUGGAAUGAACGUGACUUCUUCAGAGAAGGUAGACAAAGAGAAGAGGUAUGCUGAUUUCACCCUUAUUUCCUUGCCAUAUCCUGGGUGUGAGUUCUUCAAAGAAUUUCGGGAGAAUGAUUAUUGCGCCAAGGGUUUAGUGUUUGAUUGGUCUCAGACUUAUGUGGAUGCACAAAUUGGUAUACCUGAAGAUUCGAUUUCUUGUCAGUUUCGAAUAAAUUGGGAACAAUAUCAAGUUUGGGAUCUUAUAAAACUAACUCAAAAUUAUUUAAAACUUAUUUUGAGGUAUUUGAGCGAUAGUAGUAGUGGAAUGCUGAUUCACUGUAUUUCAGGCUGGGAUAGAACUCCUUUAUAUAUCUCACUAUUGAGAAUUAGUUUAUGGGCCGAUGGUGCUAUACAUACAUCAUUGGAUGCGUACCAAAUUCUUUAUUAUACAAUAGCGUAUGAUUGGAUGCUUUUUGGGCAUGAUUUGCAAGAUAGAUUAAGUAAAGGAGAAGAAAUCUUUUUUUUCUGUUUCUUUUUUCUGAAAUAUAUUCAUGACGAAGAUUUCAGUAUCAAUCGCCAUAAUCGUUCCAAGCAUCCCGUUUUACGUAAUGACAGUGAUUCACAGUUGGAUAAUGUAAUGUUUGAUAAUGAAUCUAUCGUAACUCUCAGUUCAGUCAGUUCCAACUUAAGUCUGAAUAGUUGGUGUAGUUCUGUCAGUCAAAAUAGCAGGGAUAGUCAGGAUAAUAAUCCACCAGCUGUGUUUCAAUGUGCCUCUGGAGACAACAGUCAGGAAGAUUAUCAUAGUAAUGGAAAUGUUGUACAAUUUGCAUUUUACCAUUCUCCAAAUAAAGAAGCACACGGAUCUCGAUCCCCUCUUCCCCCUAACAGAACAUCUCCAGUUGCUGUACCUGUACCAGGUCGUCUUCGACAACGAAAUGAAUCGUCUUCUUCUGGUGGUUCAUGGCAAAUGAUAUCUGGAACUGGAAGUUUACGUGGUUCGACAACAGCCAAUGCACCUAUUGCAGAUGCAUUAACUUCUUCUAACUUGGCUUGCAGAAAUUUAUGUGAAACUUUUGGACAUACAUCACAAGAAUCUAGUACAACUAUUAUAGAAGAUGAAGCAUGCUCGUCGUCACCAGUACAAACUCGCAAAGAUAGACUGCAGUGUUUAAGAACAAUAUUUUAUAGUGCUUAUAAACAUACUGGAUUCCGUAUGAAAGAUAAUUCUGAACCAGGAGGUUUAGGUCAAAUAAUCGGCAAUUUUGCAGAGAAAGUAGGAAUCCUUUGAUGUUCAACAUACAUCUUUGUGACUAAUAUGUCAUUAAUCAUCUUCCGCGAAUCAUCAGUUUUUCAUUAUUGACUUCUUUCUUUAACUCAGAAAAUUUUGCAAACUAUUAAAGAAAAAUCAAAUAAAAUAUUUGUAUAUUAUUGUUUAUGUGGACAAUGUAUUGUUAUAUGAAGUACGAUUCAUUAAAUAUACUAUUCUUUGGGGUGGAACAUUUUCUCUACAAAAGGGACAUUGUGGUUUAUUACGCAACCAAUUACUAAUGCAAGGCCAACAAAAUGUGUGACCACAGGGAGUUGCAGUUGUUGAUAUUGCUUCGGUACACAACUGACAGUUUUUAUGCACAUCUGUUUCUGUUAACUUUAUAAGUUCUUCGUUAUUCUUCUGCUGCGAUUCAUUUUGCCAUAUUCUUAAUACAGUUUGCAUUAAAGUUAUAAUCCCAAGCAACCUUAAACCCCAACUAACUUUAUCCAUCGAUGAACUACCAUAAACCUUAGAAAUGAAUAAGUUAUCGAAAUAUAUUAAACAGUUAUUCAUCCAUAUUUAAUAUUAUAGUAAUAUAAUAUAUUUUGCAAAAAAUUUA
Vespula vulgaris is the source of this 2893-nucleotide RNA transcript. It is a transcript of the gene named myotubularin-related protein 14, with no coding region annotated. Lineage: Eukaryota; Metazoa; Arthropoda; Insecta; Hymenoptera; Vespidae. The record is from RefSeq and is a predicted model, not a curated record. The transcript has 8 exons.